Molecule: ribosomal RNA, 449 nt
Filed under: uncultured bacterium
Lineage: Bacteria
Description: partial 16S ribosomal RNA
Rfam family: Bacterial small subunit ribosomal RNA
Source: RNAcentral
AGCGAACGCUGGCGGCAGGCCUAACACAUGCAAGUCGAACGAACUCUUCGGAGUUAGUGGCGGACGGGUGAGUAACACGUGGGAACGUGCCUUUAGGUUCGGAAUAACUCAGGGAAACUUGUGCUAAUACCGAAUGUGCCCUUCGGGGGAAAGAUUUAUCGCCUUUAGAGCGGCCCGCGUCUGAUUAGCUAGUUGGUGAGGUAAAGGCUCACCAAGGCGACGAUCAGUAGCUGGUCUGAGAGGAUGAUCAGCCACAUUGGGACUGAGGCACGGCCCAAACUCCUACGGGAGGCAGCAGUGGUGAAUCUUGCGCAAUGGGCGAAAGCUUGACGCAGCCAUGCCGCGUGAAUGAUGAAGGUCUUAGGAUUGUAAAAUUCUUUCACCGGGGACGAUAAUGACGGUACCCGGAGAAGAAGCCCCGGCUAACUUCGUGCCAGCCGCCGCCGUAA